Non-coding RNA from Anas platyrhynchos (mallard), 943 nucleotides. The record is from RefSeq and is a predicted model, not a curated record. Lineage: Eukaryota; Metazoa; Chordata; Aves; Anseriformes; Anatidae.
UAGACAGCUCUAUACAUGACAGUCUACAAAAAAGAUAUAAACUUACUUUGAAUAGUUGACGGAAGAUCAGAGCAAUUUUCUGCAUUUUUUUUCCUUUGUCUUAACUCAGUUUUCUUUUCAUAACAUGUACAGCUACUGAUACUUGUCUAAAAAUGAAUAGAAAAAAAGUCAUUCUAAAUGCCAAACCAAAAGUAUGAAAUUUACUUGAUGGAUAUUUAAUUAUUGUGCCAGUCUUCAAAGUAUGAAGUGCAAAGAUGUCUGUGUUCCAUGGCUUAUUUAGAAAAAGGAGAUGCAUAUCAGGACUUUGUUCAGUUUUGACCUCACACUCAAAACCAAGAGGUUCCUUGAAGAACUUCUACAGCAGAAAUUUGGAAAUGGCCUGUCACUUCUGCUCAUAAAAUAUCAAGCACAUUCAUUUUGUGUCUAUGCUUGUAAAGGAGUUUGUUGUUAUUGGAGCCCCCUCUGAAUUUACAAUUUUCUGUUAUCCACCAAAAAGUUAUUUUGACAAUAUUGCAAUAGAGUUCUUUAAUUUCUGAUAUUCUUAUAAAGUCAUUUACAAUAUUCAUGAGAAAGGUCUUUAUUUUUUUUUUCUUUUCUUUUCUUUCCUUUUUUUUUUUUUUUUUUUUUUUUUUAAGGAUAAUAUUAUGAUUCUACAAGUAAUGAAGUUAUGUUAAAUGGGCAAUUAAAUCAUUCUUGUUGAAAACCAUUGACAUACUGGGGUUUGGCAUUAUAAAAGUUUGAAUGAUGUGACUCAUUCUUAAUGGGAGACUGACAUUUGCUGUAUCUGUGGAGUUCCUUAGUGCCAGCCAUCUACAAAAUGAGAAUGCCAGCUGCUGUAUGACAUUUUGGUACAAUUUAGCUGAUUUAGCUGUUACUUGAAACACCUAUAAAAGACAAAAGUCUAAAAAGCUUUCAUAAUCAUAAUAAAGAGAAAAAAUACUAA